RNAcentral lists this ribosomal RNA (551 nucleotides) under Nassarius babylonicus. RNAcentral describes it as "partial 12S ribosomal RNA". Lineage: Eukaryota; Metazoa; Mollusca; Gastropoda; Neogastropoda; Nassariidae. The record is from RNAcentral.
CGGUUAUGCAAGUGAAAAGCUUUAUUUUAGGUAAAAAGACAGUUAGGUUUAAUAAUAUAUUUGUUUAUUGAAUAUCUAUAAAAAAGUAAAAUUUGUAUAUAGAUAACUAAUCUAGAAAUGGCUAUUAUAAAUGCUGAAGCUGUGAUAGUCUUGAGGGAAACUGGGAUUAGAUACCCCAUUAUUCUUGAUUGUAAAUAUAAUUAAAUUUACCAGAGUACUAUGAAUAGUUAAAAAUUUAAAACUCAAAGGGCUUGGCGGUGUUUUAGACCAAUCAGGGGAACCUGUCUCGUAAUCGACAAUCCGCGUUAUAUCUAACCUCAUUUUGUAAACAGUUUGUAUACCGUCAUCCUCAGGUAACUUUUAAAAAUAUCGAASUUAACAGUAGAAAUUUUUGUAUCAUUAGGACGUCAGAUCAAAGUGCAGCCUAUAGYGAGGAGAGGAUGGGUUACAAGUUAUAAAAUUUAUAAUUACGGAAAUUUAAAUGAAAUUAUAUUUAAGAAGGAGGACUUGAAAGUACACUAAAGUAUAUAAUGAGUUUGAAUAAAGCUCUG